RNAcentral lists this ribosomal RNA (111 nucleotides) under Caerostris darwini. The record is from RNAcentral. Lineage: Eukaryota; Metazoa; Arthropoda; Arachnida; Araneae; Araneidae.
ACAGCCGUACCAUGCUGAAUAUACCGGUUCUCGUUAGAUCACCGAAGUCAAGCAUCAUUGGGCGCGGUCAGUACUUGGGUGGGUGACCACCUGGGAACACCGCGCGCCGUU